GAUGAAGAACGCAGCGAAAUGCGAUACUUGGUGUGAAUUGCAGAAUCCCGUGAACCAUCGGGUCUUUGAACGCAAGUUGCGCCUCAAGCCAUUAGGUUGAGGGCACGUCUGCCUGGGCGUCACAUAUCGUUGCCUGAUGCCAGUUUCCUCGUGAUGGGUGACUGUGCAGGGCGAAUGAUGGCUUCCCGUGAGCAUUGUUGCCUCAUGGUUGGUUGAAAAUUGAGUCCUUGGUAGGGAGCGCCGUGAUAGAUGGUGGUUGAGUGACGAACGAGACCCAAUCAUGUGAGACCCCUACCGAAUUUGGCCUUCAUGACCCACAUGCGUCUUUGGAACGCUCAUGACGAGACCUCAGGUCAGGCGGGGCUACCCGCUGAGUUUAAGCAUAUCAAUAAGCGGGGA
Molecule: unclassified non-coding RNA, 399 nt
Filed under: soil metagenome
Description: partial contains 5.8S ribosomal RNA, internal transcribed spacer 2, and large subunit ribosomal RNA
Rfam family: 5.8S ribosomal RNA (bases 1-122)
Source: RNAcentral